This is a non-coding RNA of Pelobates cultripes (western spadefoot toad), 490 nucleotides long. The record is from the annotation of a GenBank genome assembly. Lineage: Eukaryota; Metazoa; Chordata; Amphibia; Anura; Pelobatidae.
AUCACAAGACCCAGACCUACAUUUUGAGGCAUAGUAUGUCUCUGAAGUAUUAAAAAUGAAGGCACAGUCGCAGUUUAGUUGCUAUGCAAGAACACUUAAUUAACUAGAUUUCCCCAGUGAUUAAAUGAUCAAAACAAACGUCUGUUAAUAUCUGUGCCCAGCUCCUAAUCUUCUGCUGUCUCAGUACUAAUGUCCAGUCAUGCACAAACCCCACCUGUUUUGGCCAGACACAGAGUCAGCGUGACCACUUGUUUAGGUUAGAAUAGAUUGCGUUACGUGUUUGUAGACAGCACACUCUUAGAUUAUGGAGCAAUAGCAGAUAGGUUCAUAAUGAUGGUGACUCAGCUCAGUUAUACUUAUUCUCAUCUCGGGUAAACUUCAAUUUGUCUCCGUUAUUCCUGGAGAUGGCUUUUAAAGGACCACUAUAGGCACCCAGACCAUUUCAGCUUAAUGAAGUAGUCUGGGUGCCUGGUCAAGCUAGGGAUCCGCC